GUAGGCCUAACACAUGCAAGUCGAACGAGUGGCGGACGGGUGAGGAAUACAUCGGAAUCUACUUUUUCGUGGGGGAUAACGUAGGGAAACUUACGCUAAUACCGCAUACGAAUGAAUGAGCCGAUGCCCGAUUAGCUAGUUGGCGGGGUAAGAGCCCACCAAGGCGACGAUCGGUAGCUGGUCUGAGAGGAUGAUCAGCCACACUGGAACUGAGACACGGUCCAGACUCCUACGGGAGGCAGCAGUGGGGAAUAUUGGACAAUGGGCGCAAGCCUGAUCCAGCCAUACCGCGUGGGUGAAGAAGGCCUUCGGGUUGUAAAGCCCUUUUGUUGGGAAAGCGGUACCCAAAGAAUAAGCACCGGCUAACUUCGUGCCAGCAGCCGCGGUAAUACGAAGGGUGCAAGCGUUACUCGGAAUUACUGGGCGUAAAGCGUGCGUAGGUGGUUGUUUAAGUCUGUCGUGAAAGCCCUGGGCUCAACCUGGGAAUUGCGAUGGAAACUGGGCGACUAGAGUGUGGCAGAGGAUAGUGGAAUUCCUGGUGUAGCAGUGAAAUGCGUAGAGAUC
This 564-nucleotide ribosomal RNA is filed under the name uncultured bacterium. RNAcentral's name for it is "bacterial SSU rRNA". It matches the Rfam family "Bacterial small subunit ribosomal RNA", at positions 42 to 698 of the family's 1533-position model. The record is from RNAcentral.